UUUAAUGCAUUACCAAUC
This 18-nucleotide small nuclear RNA is filed under the name Arabidopsis thaliana (thale cress). Its description in RNAcentral is "snRNA_12144". Lineage: Eukaryota; Viridiplantae; Streptophyta; Magnoliopsida; Brassicales; Brassicaceae. The record is from RNAcentral.